GGCGGACGGGUGAGUAACGCGUGGGCAACCUGCCCUGUACCGGGGGACAACAGCCAGAAAUGGCUGCUAAUACCGCAUAAGCCUGCGGUGCCGCAUGGCACAGCAGGGAAAACCACGGUGGUACAGGAUGGGCCCGCGUCUGAUUAGUUAGUUGGCAGGGUAACGGCCUACCAAGACGAUGAUCAGUAGCCGGCUUGAGAGAGUGGACGGCCACAUUGGGACUGAGACACGGCCCAGACUCCUACGGGAGGCAGCAGUGAGGAAUAUUGGUCAAUGGCCGAGAGGCUGAACCAGCCAAGUCGCGUGAGGGAAGACGGCCCUACGGGUUGUAAACCUCUUUUGUCGGGGAGCAAAGCGAACCACGUGUGGUUCAUUGAGAGUACCCGAAGAAAAAGCAUCGGCUAACUCCGUGCCAGCAGCCGCGGUAAUACGGAGGAUGCGAGCGUUAUCCGGAUUUAUUGGGUUUAAAGGGUGCGCAGGCGGAGGUGCAAGUCAGCGGUCAAAUUGCGGGGCUCAACCCCGUACUGCCGUUGAAACUGCAUCCCUUGAGUGCGCGAGAAGUAUGCGGAAUGCGUGGUGUAGCGGUGAAAUGCAUAGAUAUCACGCAGAACUCCGAUUGCGAAGGCAGCAUACCGGCGCGCAACUGACGCUCAUGCACGAAAGCGUGGGUAUCGAACAGGAUUAGAUACCCUGGUAGUCCACGCAGUAAACGAUGAACACUAACUGUUCGGCCAGAAUGAUGGCUGAGUGGUACAGCGAAAGCGUUAAGUGUUCCACCUGGGGAGUACGCCGGCAACGGUGAAACUCAAAGGAAUUGACGGGGGCCCGCACAAGCGGAGGAACAUGUGGUUUAAUUCGAUGAUACGCGAGGAACCUUACCCGGGCUCAAACGACACAGGAAUACUUUUGAAAGGAGGUAGCCCUACGGGGUCUGUGUCGAGGUGCUGCAUGGUUGUCGUCAGCUCGUGCCGUGAGGUGUCGGCUUAAGUGCCAUAACGAGCGCAACCCCUAUCGCCAGUUACCAUCAAGUAAAGUUGGGGACUCUGGCGAGACUGCCGGCGCAAGCUGAGAGGAAGGCGGGGAUGACGUCAAAUCAGCACGGCCCUUACGUCCGGGGCGACACACGUGUUACAAUGGCAGGUACAGAGAGAAGCCAGGUGGUGACACCGAGCGGAACUCGAAAGCCUGUCUCAGUUCGGAUCGGAGUCUGCAACCCGACUCCGUGAAGCUGGAUUCGCUAGUAAUCGCGCAUCAGCCAUGGCGCGGUGAAUACGUUCCCGGGCCUUGCACUCACCGCCCGUCAAG
RNAcentral lists this ribosomal RNA (1305 nucleotides) under uncultured bacterium. RNAcentral describes it as "bacterial SSU rRNA". It matches the Rfam family "Bacterial small subunit ribosomal RNA", at positions 97 to 1401 of the family's 1533-position model. The record is from RNAcentral.